GAUGACCACACACUUCUGCUCUGUUUUAAUAUUCUUUUAAUUUAAAUUUAUUUUUACACAAAUUUUGGCACUUCACAAAUUAAAAUAAAACUUAAUCAAAACAACAAUGAAAAAAAAUGACACUUCUUCUUUUGCGUGUUGUUCUUGUCAUCCAUUGCGAAAUGAUAACAAAAACAUUCCUGCCAAUGUUUAAAAUAGAAAAAACAUAGUUGCUAAAAUUGUAGUAUUUGACACGAUGGAGACGUGUCUUCUAUAUCCUGUAAAUUAAUUUCUUUUUGGUUAUACCUAUACUUGUUGACACACUUAUAUAUAAGAGAAAAAUUUUAAGGAAAUCUGUAAAACUCUACGUAGGUAAAACCAAAGGGAAUCUAAGGACAUUCACAGUAUUAAACUUUUACCUAAAUUAUAUGAAAUUGAUAUUAAAAUAUCAACGAAUACUAUAACAAAUUGAUUUAAAUCCUUGGAAUGUGACAGCAAUUUCUGAUAAAAAAAAUAAAGAAACCUAAAAAGAAAUUAAAUAUUUUUAUUUUGCACCAAGAUAUUUACGCAAUAUAUAUACGUAUAAGCCGGUAGAAAAUUCCUCGGGAUAUUUAAGUAGUACGCUGUGGUGAUUAAUGAGAAACAACAAUAAAACUCAGGCAACACUGUGUAUAGAAGAAAUUAAAAACAACUCCAUCUACCAACAAUCGCCCACCUUACUAAAUAUCCCGAGUGAGUAUUAACUAAGUUCUAAAAUCUCUAUAGUAGCAAAUACACCAACCGUAAAGGCUUAUGCAUAAAAACAAAAUACAUUCCACGAUAAAAUACAGUGGGUAUUAUAUAAACUACCUGAUAAACUAACCCUGAGAGUUUAAAUUAACAAUCUUUGAUGAGAAAUAAAUAGACAAAACUAAUCAAUUUAGAAUAUGUUUAAGAAUUAAUAAAAUAUAUAAAUAUUUCAUUAAUACAAAACUAAAACAAAAUAUGCAUGUAUAGCACCCUAAUAUAUACAGGUCUAUAGAUUUAUACAUGCCUAGGUAUAAAUAUAUAUGUGAAGCAAAUAUACAUUGAAAGAUAUGUAGGGAUAAAUAUAUGCUUAUAUAUGUACUUAUACCUACUUAACCAUUAAUAUAUAAAUCAAGCUUUAAUUAAUAGUUAGGUAAAACGAUA
Calliphora vicina (urban bluebottle blowfly) is the source of this 1149-nucleotide long non-coding RNA. RefSeq lists it as uncharacterized. The transcript is spliced from 3 exons. NCBI's taxonomy places the organism in Eukaryota, Metazoa, Arthropoda, Insecta, Diptera, Calliphoridae. The record is from RefSeq and is a predicted model, not a curated record.